AAGACCUUGCGCUUUUGGAGCGGCCGAUGCCUGAUUAGCUAGUUGGUGGGGUAAUGGCCUACCAAAGCUUCGAUCAGUAGCUGGUCUGAGAGGACGGCCAGCCACACUGGGACUGAGACACGGCCCAGACUCCUACGGGAGGCAGCAGUGGGGAAUUUUGGACAAUGGGCGCAAACCUGAUCCAGCCAUGCCGCGUGAGUGAAGAAGGCCUUCGGGUUGUAAAGCUCUUUCAGCCGGGAAGAAAAGGUUGCGAUUAAUAAUCGCAAUUUAUGACGGUACCGGAAGAAGAAGCACCGGCUAACUACGUGCCAGCAGCCGCGGUAAUACGUAGGGUGCGAGCGUUAAUCGGAAUUACUGGGCGUAAAGGGUGCGCAGGCGGUUUUGUAAGUCAGAUGUGAAAUCCCCGGGCUUAACCUGGGAACU
This 423-nucleotide ribosomal RNA is filed under the name uncultured bacterium. RNAcentral's name for it is "bacterial SSU rRNA". It matches the Rfam family "Bacterial small subunit ribosomal RNA", at positions 207 to 622 of the family's 1533-position model. The record is from RNAcentral.